GCCUGGGUAGCUCAGUCAGUAGAGCAUCAGACUUUUUUUAAUCUGAGGGUCCAGGGUUCAAGUCCCUGUUCAGGUG
This 76-nucleotide transfer RNA is filed under the name Tauraco erythrolophus (red-crested turaco). It matches the Rfam family "tRNA". Rfam says of the family: Transfer RNA (tRNA) molecules are approximately 80 nucleotides in length. Their secondary structure includes four short double-helical elements and three loops (D, anti-codon, and T loops). Lineage: Eukaryota; Metazoa; Chordata; Aves; Musophagiformes; Musophagidae. The record is from Rfam by way of RNAcentral.